CCUACGAAGGCAGCAGUGGGGAAUUUUGGACAAUGGGCGCAAGCCUGAUCCAGCAAUGCCGCGUGCAGGAUGAAGGCCUUCGGGUUGUAAACUGCUUUUGUACGGAACGAAACGGCUCUUUCUAAUAAAGAGAGCUAAUGACGGUACCGUAAGAAUAAGCACCGGCUAACUACGUGCCAGCAGCCGCGGUAAUACGUAGGGUGCGAGCGUUAAUCGGAAUUACUGGGCGUAAAGCGUGCGCAGGCGGUUAUAUAAGACAGAUGUGAAAUCCCCGGGCUCAACCUGGGACCUGCAUUUGUGACUGUAUAGCUAGAGUACGGUAGAGGGGGAUGGAAUUCCGCGUGUAGCAGUGAAAUGCGUAGAUAUGCGGAGGAACACCGAUGGCGAAGGCAAUCCCCUGGACCUGUACUGACGCUCAUGCACGAAAGCGUGGGGAGCAAACAGGAUUAGAUACCCUGGUAGUCCACGCCCUAAACGAUGUCAACUGGUUGUUGGGUCUUCACUGACUCAGUAACGAAGCUAACGCGUGAAGUUGACCGCCUGGGGAGUACGGCCGCAAGGUUGAAACUCAAAAGGAAUUGACGGCGNGAGAGAGCGAGACGACGACGAGGGAGGAGG
This 618-nucleotide ribosomal RNA is filed under the name uncultured bacterium. RNAcentral's name for it is "bacterial SSU rRNA". It matches the Rfam family "Bacterial small subunit ribosomal RNA", at positions 338 to 951 of the family's 1533-position model. The record is from RNAcentral.